GGGGAAUUUUGCGCAAUGGGGGAAACCCUGAGCAGCAACGCCGCGUGAGUGAUGAAGGCCUUCGGGUCGUAAAGCUCUGUCAGAGGGAAAGAAGUGCAGUGGUGCUAACAUCAUUGCUUGACGGUACCCUCAAAGGAAGCACCGGCUAACUCCUUGCCAGCAGCCGCGGUAAU
This 173-nucleotide ribosomal RNA is filed under the name uncultured bacterium. RNAcentral describes it as "partial 16S ribosomal RNA". It matches the Rfam family "Bacterial small subunit ribosomal RNA", at positions 356 to 524 of the family's 1533-position model. The record is from RNAcentral.